GCUCCUUUAGUAUAAAAAGUAUAUUUAACUUCCAAUUAAAAGGUUUUCUUUAAAAGGGGUAAUA
Molecule: transfer RNA, 64 nt
Filed under: Meccus pallidipennis
Lineage: Eukaryota; Metazoa; Arthropoda; Insecta; Hemiptera; Reduviidae
Description: tRNA-Gly
Source: RNAcentral